Molecule: ribosomal RNA, 356 nt
Filed under: Myurella bilineata
Lineage: Eukaryota; Metazoa; Mollusca; Gastropoda; Neogastropoda; Terebridae
Description: Hastulopsis bilineata partial 12S ribosomal RNA
Source: RNAcentral
UUUACCAGAGUACUAUGAAUGCUUAAAAAAUUUAAAACUCAAAGAACUUGGCGGUGUUUUAGACCACUCAGGGGAACCUGUCUCGUAAUCGAUAAUCCGCGUUGCACCUGACCUCUUUUUGUUUUCAGUUUGUAUACCGUUGUCGUCAGGUAACUUUUUAGAAAUUAGAAGUUAGCAAUUAAAGUAUUAAUAACUUAGUAUGUCAAAUCAAGGUGCAGCUAAUAAAGAGGGGAGGAUGGGUUACAAUUAUAUGAUUUAUAAUGACGGAUAGAUGUAUGGAUGUACAUUAAGUUUUAAGGAGGACUUGGAAGUAAAUUAGAGUAUAAAGAUAAUUUGAAUUGGGCUCUGAAACGUGU